UCCAGAACAGGAUGGCAACCGGCGGCUCGUCUUCGUCCGGGAUGGUGUCCAGCCCGGCCAGCGGCGCGUUCAGAUCAUGUUUCAGGAUC
RNAcentral lists this transfer RNA (89 nucleotides) under Phaeobacter piscinae. RNAcentral describes it as "tRNA-Thr". Lineage: Bacteria; Pseudomonadati; Pseudomonadota; Alphaproteobacteria; Rhodobacterales; Roseobacteraceae. The record is from RNAcentral.